UUUUUUAUGUAGUUUUAUGUCUUACUUGAGGUUUCUUGUAACAUUUUCGGUCCCUGUACCAAGUAAAUGACUACUUUUGGUCUCAAAAAUUUAGUCAUUUUAAUUGGAACAUAAACUAAAAACCUCAAAAUAAGGACCAAAACUACAAAAGAAAACAUGUUGGGACUAGAAUUGAAAAAAAAAUCAGCUAUACAUAAGAACCAAAAUGUAAUUUAUAUACUUCAUUUUAUACAAACAACACUUAAUAUUAAUUGUGAAUUGGUAAUCUUGAACUCAUUUACAGGAGUUGUAAUGGCCUUGACCGGAUUUGUACUCAUGAUGCUUGUAGUGUGUAAUGGCACAAACAAUCAAACUAAUUUGGUCAGUUUCAGAAGUGGGAAUACUAUUGUUGCUGAGCUACAUGGUGAAGUUGGGUGGCCAGCAUCUUCUAGCUAUGGUGAACCAAAAUACACUCAAGGAGAAAACAUCUAGUGGUAUGCAGGGUGUAAACAACGAAUGGUGCACACUUCUUCACCUUCUUGGCUGUUGUCUUCUUUCACAAGCAUAUCUUCAAUCAUCAUGGGGUUCUACUGAAAAGAAAGUUAAUGAAGCCAUUUCUUGCUUUUUUUAGGUUAAUUCGUUUGGAAUCUAACACAGCUGGAAGAAGGCCGUGGAUACUUUCAUUUGGACUUGGUUAUACAAAUAGGUUAUAUAGUUAGGGAAAACCUCUUAAUAGCAAUGUACAAUUAGGUCCCCUAAAUACCAAUGUAUUACAAUGUAUUGUAUUUUUGUAUGACAUUAAAUUUUAUGUAAUGGAUUAUAUUUUUUGUAUAUGAUAUAUUAUUUUCUAUUAUUGGACAUUAAAUGCAAAUUUAAUUUGAAAAUUAGUAAAUCCAUAAAUAAUUUUUUUUUAACAUUUAAAAUUAUGAUACGCAAAAAUGUGUGUCAUCUUUAUUUAUGACAUGGCCUUUCUUGACAUGGGCUUUCUUGAUACGCAUUGCGUGUCAUAAACACGCGCGUCGUAAGGUUACGACACGC
This is a non-coding RNA of Lactuca sativa (garden lettuce), 1017 nucleotides long. NCBI's taxonomy places the organism in Eukaryota, Viridiplantae, Streptophyta, Magnoliopsida, Asterales, Asteraceae. The record is from RefSeq and is a predicted model, not a curated record.